GACAGAAGGUGCGGGCAUUAUUUGGUGUUACUGGGUGUAAACGGUACGUAGGCGGUCGGCGUGUUUUGUAGACAAAAGGAUAGGGAUUUCCCAUAUCGUGUAAACAAAUACAAUCCGUCUAGAGUAAUUUACAAGAAAGAAGAACUUUGUAGCGAAGAGUAAAAUUUGCCGAGCUACGAAUGAUUGCCGACUGGUGAAGACAUCUUUCUAGGUUUUACUGACGCUGAGGUACGGAAGCUUGGGGCGCAAACAGG
This 254-nucleotide ribosomal RNA is filed under the name uncultured bacterium. RNAcentral describes it as "partial 16S ribosomal RNA". It matches the Rfam family "Bacterial small subunit ribosomal RNA", at positions 524 to 776 of the family's 1533-position model. The record is from RNAcentral.